UACGUAGGGCGCAAGCGUUAUCCGGAAUUAUUGGGCGUAAAGAGCUCGUAGGCGGUUUGUCGCGUCUGCCGUGAAAGUCCGGGGCUCAACUCCGGAUCUGCGGUGGGUACGGGCAGACUAGAGUGAUGUAGGGGAGACUGGAAUUCCUGGUGUAGCGGUGAAAUGCGCAGAUAUCAGGAGGAACACCGGUGGCGAAGGCGGCACUCUGGGCCGGUACUGACGCUGAGGAGCGAAAGCGUGGGGAGCGAACAGG
RNAcentral lists this ribosomal RNA (253 nucleotides) under uncultured bacterium. Its description in RNAcentral is "partial 16S ribosomal RNA". It matches the Rfam family "Bacterial small subunit ribosomal RNA", at positions 524 to 776 of the family's 1533-position model. The record is from RNAcentral.